RNAcentral lists this ribosomal RNA (1372 nucleotides) under Vibrio vulnificus. RNAcentral's name for it is "partial 23S ribosomal RNA". It matches the Rfam family "Bacterial large subunit ribosomal RNA", at positions 1595 to 2925 of the family's 2925-position model. The record is from RNAcentral. Lineage: Bacteria; Pseudomonadati; Pseudomonadota; Gammaproteobacteria; Vibrionales; Vibrionaceae.
UGAUGCCAUGCUUCCAGGAAAAGCCUCUAAGCUUCAGAUUGUAAGGAAUCGUACCCCAAACCGACACAGGUGGUCGGGUAGAGAAUACCAAGGCGCUUGAGAGAACUCGGGUGAAGGAACUAGGCAAAAUGGUACCGUAACUUCGGGAGAAGGUACGCUCUUGAUGGUGAAGUCCCUUGCGGAUGGAGCUGACGAGAGUCGCAGAUACCAGGUGGCUGCAACUGUUUAUUAAAAACACAGCACUGUGCAAAAUCGUAAGAUGACGUAUACGGUGUGACGCCUGCCCGGUGCCGGAAGGUUAAUUGAUGGGGUUAGCGUAAGCGAAGCUCUUGAUCGAAGCCCCGGUAAACGGCGGCCGUAACUAUAACGGUCCUAAGGUAGCGAAAUUCCUUGUCGGGUAAGUUCCGACCUGCACGAAUGGCGUAAUGAUGGCCACGCUGUCUCCACCCGAGACUCAGUGAAAUUGAAAUCGCUGUGAAGAUGCAGUGUACCCGCGGCUAGACGGAAAGACCCCGUGAACCUUUACUACAGCUUGGCACUGAACAUUGAACCUACAUGUGUAGGAUAGGUGGGAGGCUUUGAAGACGUGACGCCAGUUGCGUUGGAGCCGUCCUUGAAAUACCACCCUUGUAUGUUUGAUGUUCUAACGUUGGCCCCUAAUCGGGGUUGCGGACAGUGCCUGGUGGGUAGUUUGACUGGGGCGGUCUCCUCCCAAAGAGUAACGGAGGAGCACGAAGGUGGGCUAAUCACGGUUGGACAUCGUGAGGUUAGUGCAAUGGCAUAAGCCCGCUUAACUGCGAGAAUGACGGUUCGAGCAGGUGCGAAAGCAGGUCAUAGUGAUCCGGUGGUUCUGAAUGGAAGGGCCAUCGCUCAACGGAUAAAAGGUACUCCGGGGAUAACAGGCUGAUACCGCCCAAGAGUUCAUAUCGACGGCGGUGUUUGGCACCUCGAUGUCGGCUCAUCACAUCCUGGGGCUGAAGUCGGUCCCAAGGGUAUGGCUGUUCGCCAUUUAAAGUGGUACGCGAGCUGGGUUUAGAACGUCGUGAGACAGUUCGGUCCCUAUCUGCCGUGGGCGUUGGAAGAUUGAAGGGGGCUGCUCCUAGUACGAGAGGACCGGAGUGGACGAACCUCUGGUGUUCGGGUUGUGUCGCCAGACGCAUUGCCCGGUAGCUAAGUUCGGAAUCGAUAACCGCUGAAAGCAUCUAAGCGGGAAGCGAGCCCUGAGAUGAGUCUUCCCUGAUACUUUAAGUAUCCUGAAGGGUUGUUCGAGACUAGAACGUUGAUAGGCAGGGUGUGUAAGCGCUGUGAGGCGUUGAGCUAACCUGUACUAAUUGCCCGUGAGGCUUAACCAUACAACACCCAAAGGGUUUUG